RNAcentral lists this transfer RNA (68 nucleotides) under Nymphon unguiculatum-charcoti complex sp. SEM-1997. Its description in RNAcentral is "tRNA-Trp". The record is from RNAcentral. Lineage: Eukaryota; Metazoa; Arthropoda; Pycnogonida; Pantopoda; Nymphonidae.
AAGGUUUUAAGUUAAUUAGACUAGUAUCCUUCAAAGAUACAAAUAGGAGUAAAAUCUUCUAAGCUUUA